AAAUAUUGUACGGAUUGAAUGCUGUUUACCAUUUCUUUUGUUUUUUCUAGGUGAUGAAGCCCAAUGAUGCACAGUUAUGGCAACGCAACAACCUCCCCCAGAGAAGUUAUUGUACAAGUGUUGCAGCAGUGAUGUCAAAGAGCUGAAGACAUCUCGAACAGUUUGACAUCAAGCACAAGUGACAAGCCUAUCCUCUUCUUGCACCGAGUCAUCACCAUGUCCCAAAAUCACAUUAUUCAGAGCUGGGAGCCUGUGCCGGCGGAUGUGAGG
This 270-nucleotide long non-coding RNA is filed under the name Neogobius melanostomus (round goby). Its description in RNAcentral is "lncRNA (ENSNMLG00000006031.1)". The record is from RNAcentral. Lineage: Eukaryota; Metazoa; Chordata; Actinopteri; Gobiiformes; Gobiidae.